AGGGAGCGGCCGCCGCGGCCCUCCACGGCACUGCGCCUGCGUACCACCCGAAGGGCAAUUAAGUCCCGCCCCUUGGGGUGGCCAUAUGACACGAAGCGGCGCUUGUACAAAGUCAUGUGAUGAGUACCCAAUCAAUAAGAUUUCUGUCAUCACGUGGUUACUCGGUGCUUGUCUAACCCCCUCCUAGCGGAAGCUUUCUCGUCUCGAGACCGACCCCGUUGCUUCGCUACCGCGUGAUCAUCUCCCCCCCCGCGUGCAUUUUUAUCAUGUGAUCAUGUUCCAGGCAGAUAUAUGUGUUUUUAACUUGCGUUUCUCUCCUGAGAUUUAAAUCGCACUCUAAUUUGUACCAGACUAUAUUACCUUACUAAAGUAAUGACUGCAAACGAAGAGUGUAUUUGUCCCCCUUCUAAAGCAUAUAUACUUUACGUUAAUAAAAGAAUUUCUCAAAAUAUUACAAGAGAAUUUUCAACCAGACUAAGAAUAUUCAUAUUGUUGUUGUAUUUUAGACCAUUCUUUUAAAGCAAGUGGAAUUCUCCACACUCAAAUUUACUUUAAAAACAAACAAAAAUGCAUAGAAUCAAUGAAUUUGAAAAACAAAAGUGCCGAAGUAAUUUAGGAACUAUUUUCUAGAAUGAUUUUGAAAAACUUCGUAUAGCACUGUGUAGAUUGUUACAUUGUUUAAACAGUUUGUCUGUUUUUUCUUUUCUCAAGCAUUUCACUCCAUUGGUAAUAGGAGUGUCCUCAGAUGCAACAGAUAACAAAUUGCCACCUCUUGCAUAUGGUGGCUGUUGUAUGGUGCCCUUUCUCCCAUUGCAAUCUGCUAGGUGGCCAACAGAUUGACGCAGAUGCAUGGCAACACUUCACAUCGUUUUAUGCCAAGAAUAUAGCCAAUUGAGCAAUCACUGUGCCAGCAGAGGCCAGGCAAAUGGCAACAUCCUGAAUUGGAGAACACCAGCUUUUCUUGGUGAGUGCAGGCAGCUUCCUCUGUUAUUAAGGAUAGAGGCUGAUACGAUGCACUGAUGACACUGGAUGUUCUUUGUCAACAAUUUCACAUAUGUGUAACUGGAAACAAGAUGGAACCCUGUCUCAAAGAGCAGAGCAAAGGAUGCUCUUAUAAAUGAUGCUUAAAAAAUUACAUUUAUAUCUAUUGGUUUUCCCUCCUUUUUCUUCCUUUAAUGUUUUUUAUUGGCUCUUGUUAAUUCUCUUGGGUUGUUGGGUAGGUGGAAUACAAGUACACAAAUAAAUAAAUAGUUAAACUUGCCUAUGCA
Molecule: long non-coding RNA, 1268 nt
Filed under: Salvator merianae (Argentine black and white tegu)
Lineage: Eukaryota; Metazoa; Chordata; Lepidosauria; Squamata; Teiidae
Description: lncRNA (ENSSMRG00000011693.1)
Source: RNAcentral